AAACGACUCUCGGCAACGGAUAUCUCGGCUCUCGCAUCGAUGAAGAACGUAGCGAAAUGCGAUACUUGGUGUGAAUUGCAGAAUCCCGUGAACCAUCGAGUCUUUGAACGCAAGUUGCGCCCGAAGUCGUUAGGCCGAGGGCACGCCUGCCUGGGCGUCACAC
This 163-nucleotide ribosomal RNA is filed under the name Osteomeles schwerinae. RNAcentral's name for it is "5.8S ribosomal RNA". It matches the Rfam family "5.8S ribosomal RNA". Rfam says of the family: 5.8S ribosomal RNA (5.8S rRNA) is a component of the large subunit of the eukaryotic ribosome. The record is from RNAcentral. Lineage: Eukaryota; Viridiplantae; Streptophyta; Magnoliopsida; Rosales; Rosaceae.